ACGACUCUUCAUCUUCUUCUUCUUCAAUAUCAAAUUGUCAUAUGAUUUUUCCACUUCUCUGAGUUUUCCUGUAUGCAAUGAUGAAUUCAUCAUGCAGUCAGUUCUACUAUGGUCGAAUCCUCCGACUGCUCCGCCUCCGUCCGUCGUGGCCGACAAAAUAUUUGAGGCGAGUUCCAGAGUCGAGACCUCCGUUUGAUCCGCUUGCCUCCUCCGUAGUAGGCAAAACCGCUAGGUCUAGUUCCAGAGUUUUUAUAUCCAACAAUUGAUAAGCAAAAUUGUAUGUCUGCAGAUCCGGUGGACCAUAUCCAUUCGACCAGGUCUGCAAAUCCGGUGUCCAGUGGGCCAUAUCCAGCCAACCAGGUCUGCAAAUCCAGUGGACCACAUCCUGCAGUCAAGGUUUUUGUCCACCAUUAUUAUGUCCUUCAACUCUUGAGUGGACCAUACUCAAGGUUUGGUCUGACGAUUUGUGUCCACUGCUAACAAAAAAAAAAUGUCCACACUACUAAAGUUUGUAUAUUGAAAGAGAAAUAUGUUUAAGAUGACAUAAAUAAAAAGAUAACAACAAAAGUUAAUUUAAGUAUUAAAUUAUGGACUAUAAAUAUAGGACAUAAAUUGUAGACACACUUUUUUAUGAAAAAUAAAUUUAUGUCCAUAGUUAAUAUUGUCUACCGCAGAAACUGUAAAAUCUUAUAUCAAAUAAUUAAUAGUUAGUUUUU
Camelina sativa (false flax) is the source of this 716-nucleotide long non-coding RNA. RefSeq lists it as uncharacterized. The record is from RefSeq and is a predicted model, not a curated record. Lineage: Eukaryota; Viridiplantae; Streptophyta; Magnoliopsida; Brassicales; Brassicaceae.